UGAGUCUCUCUACAUACAGCAGAGGUGUCUAACUGUGAGUUUCUCUACAUACAGCAGAGGUGUCUAGCUGUGAGUCUCUCCAGACCUGCUGAUGCCCUCGUGGCCAUGAUUGUUCUGAGAUGUCUCGGUUUCUUCAUCUUAUUUCCAUGUGCUGUGAAGAUCAUGAACUUCCAGCAGUCUACGUCUGUCAUGGUUACGGAGAACGCCACGGUUGAAAUCUCGUGUAGCCAUGACGACAACAGCUUGUUGCUCAUGCUGUGGUACCAGCAGCGACCUGUCGCUCGGGAUAUGACCCUCAUUGGGUACAGCUAUGCGUCCUCUGAGCCCAGCUACGAGGGUCAGUUCCAGGAAAGGUUCGAGCUCACCAGAGAGGACACCCUGAGAGGAGCACUCCUCCUUCCCCACGCAGCUCUCGCAGACUCGGCCGUGUAUUUCUGUGCUGCCAGUACACAGUGAUGUGGCUUGACGCCAACGCCUCACCAAAACCCUGGCGAGGGUUCAGGCCCCACGGUCCUCCAGGCACCCAGAGACCUUGUCCUCCGAGCUGGGCUGACCAGGUGACCCUGCAGUGCAGCGUGGGUCCCGGCCUCAGCAUGAGCAGCUACACCAUGCUGUGGUACCGCCAG
Non-coding RNA from Osmerus eperlanus (European smelt), 626 nucleotides. The record is from the annotation of a RefSeq genome assembly. NCBI's taxonomy places the organism in Eukaryota, Metazoa, Chordata, Actinopteri, Osmeriformes, Osmeridae.